Vidua chalybeata is the source of this 364-nucleotide long non-coding RNA. RefSeq lists it as uncharacterized. NCBI's taxonomy places the organism in Eukaryota, Metazoa, Chordata, Aves, Passeriformes, Viduidae. The transcript is spliced from 3 exons. The record is from RefSeq and is a predicted model, not a curated record.
CUUGUCCACGGCCUCAGGACUUUCCCCAGGGAAAUGCUUCCAGUCGUGGAUCUCUGGGCAUUGCUGGGUGCAGCUUUGUGGAUUAAGGGAUGCAUUUUAGAAGGUGUAAUGCAGAGAUGAUUAAAAAAAAAAAGUGGCUUCCAACAGAAAGGCAGCAUCAAGGGGAUAUAUCUGAUAUUGAUUUCCCUUUGGGCAAAGGGAAUCCCAGGACCCUGCUCCCAAAACUCUGAUGUCUGCCUCCAAAACUCUGAUGCCACUAGUGAGGUCAGAGCUCCACAGGCUGAAGAAGUGAACAUCCCUGCUGCUGCCGGUGGCUGCUGCACUCCCGUGGCCGCCAGCCGCAUCCACAGCACCUGUGGGGCAG